This 21-nucleotide non-coding RNA is filed under the name Caenorhabditis elegans. The record is from RNAcentral. Lineage: Eukaryota; Metazoa; Nematoda; Chromadorea; Rhabditida; Rhabditidae.
UCUCCAGACAACUGAUGUCUC